UAAGAUGCGACAGCAUAUCAUUUAUUAAAUCUUUUAUUUCUGUAUGUUUACUGAUUUGUUUACGAAUUACCAAAAUAUAACGCCCGAUUCGUAGAGUAAAUAUUUUAAGCUAGUUGCUGCAUUAAGAACUAUUUGGAUUUUGUGUUCUAUCUUUGAAGAUAACUCAAUAUGGUCCUGUACGUCACCGCCUAGAGUUGCUAACGGAUUCGUUUCCUAUGAUUCGCUUUCCGGUGGACCUUCAUGGACCGGUGAUGUGACGUAUAACUGUUUCCGGUUUUAUGGUCUGGUUGGGUCUAACAAAUUAACGUGCAUUGGUGGGAAUUGGCAAGGAACUAUGCCUAUUUGUGAAUAUGAAAGAGAUACGGAAAUUCUAUUUUGGUUUCUGAUUGCCGUAGUUGUUGUUUUGUUACUGGUGCUGGUUAUGCUAAUACUAUUUGUCUGUUGCUACUUCGGCAGAUGCUGCGGGUCUGGAAAAGGGAAGUAAUCGUUAUAUAUCUCAUGCCUGGAAAAGGGAAGUAAUUAGAGUUUGAUGAUGUUUAGUGGGAUGAAAACAAAUUAACACUUUCAGAUUCCUCUAUGUAUGAAUUAGACUCUUAGAAAACCAAUUGUUAUUACACUAACUUUUAAGUCUAUAUUUUGCGUUUUUGGAGAGGUCUUUACCUUGGAGCAGCACGCCUCCAGUUUGUAAUAUUUUUUACUACAUCUUUUAGAUGAGUAAACUGUUUAUAAGAUUGUAAAAUUAAAAGUAAAGUAAAGUAAAAUCUUUACUUAAGACCAUAACCGAAAUUAAGAGCACCCCCUAUUUAGAACAAUUCUGUAAAAGAACGAAAUUUUCUGCUCUUAAAGUUAAUGGUAACAUGUUUAACAAUUAAUUAAGACUGCUUCACCUGUCGAUUUUUGAGACCACAAAUUCAGUCCCAAUGCCUUGUUUUAUUCUUUAUCUAACCGCUUUAUUGAGACCACUGAUAAUCCAUUCAACACCUAUGCAGAUCACAAGUUUGUUGUUACUCAUUUGCUUGAAUUGUAAAACCGUUAUGAUUGGAAAACUGUAUAAAGUAAGGUGAGAAAAUAAACUAUAGAGUGGUUUAAUGUUACUUUAUGCACAUUCAGUUUGUGAAGAAUAAAUUUCUUAUUUAUCCAUAGAAAGAACUUGUAAUUUCUCAAAAAUAUAGUGCAUGACGUAAUUUCGUUUACCCUGUUAGUAAUGGAGUAGAAUUUUCACCUAAAGUUUUAGCUUAUUCUUGAGUAUUCAAAAUAUUUUUAAAUA
Ruditapes philippinarum (Manila clam) is the source of this 1267-nucleotide long non-coding RNA. RefSeq lists it as uncharacterized. The record is from RefSeq and is a predicted model, not a curated record. NCBI's taxonomy places the organism in Eukaryota, Metazoa, Mollusca, Bivalvia, Venerida, Veneridae. The transcript has 4 exons.